Long non-coding RNA from Dipodomys spectabilis (banner-tailed kangaroo rat), 124 nucleotides. RefSeq lists it as uncharacterized. Lineage: Eukaryota; Metazoa; Chordata; Mammalia; Rodentia; Heteromyidae. The transcript is spliced from 3 exons. The record is from RefSeq and is a predicted model, not a curated record.
CUUAAUUGUUAAUAUUAACAUUGUAUACAGCAUAGCCCAACUAUAAUAGGAUCCAUACUAGAUAAUCCUAGAUAGUGUUAGAUACUGGAAAGUGUCACUAUGGCCGUGACCAGGAGAGGGCACU